Long non-coding RNA from Apis dorsata (giant honeybee), 554 nucleotides. RefSeq lists it as uncharacterized. Lineage: Eukaryota; Metazoa; Arthropoda; Insecta; Hymenoptera; Apidae. The record is from RefSeq and is a predicted model, not a curated record. The transcript has 2 exons.
UCUUUAUUUUUUUUAAAGACUACAGCAAAUCUAUGUAAUAACAUUAUUUUGGAGAAAACGGCGAGACAUGCGAGACAUUCAAAAAUAGAAUGGAAGUGAAGAAUCACAAGAGUCUAAAAACUUAUUUGGGGUCCUUGGGUGUCCUCAACGGUUCUUAAAUGGUGCUCUCCGCGUUCUUCACUGGCUCAAGGCCGCUCAACAAACGGCCGCAUUCACCAGGCUGCAUUCAGCUCCGUACGUGUCAUCUUUUAUGACCAGGCCUUGAAGAAUCUGAUAGAGACUGGUUGCCUUCGGCUCGUUGUUCGUCUCGCUAACGGGAGAUUUAUGUCUGCUCUCGAUCCAAUGUGCUCUCGAUUCAAAUGGUUUAUAUACAAACAUGAGAGAUGAGUAAAGGAGAAUUGGAAGAUCACGAGCAUGUACAACCGAUAUUCGUCUUUCCAUAGGACAUAAGAUUCCAAUAAAAAUGUAAAUUCCAUGAAGUUCCGCGGACCAACUGGCACGACAGCACAACUGAGCCGUCCUAUUUACUCGUCAAGAGAGAAAGUUGAAAAGAG